UACCAUGGUGGUAACGGGUAACGGGGUGUUAGGGCGCGACACCGGAGAGGGAGCCUGAGAAACGGCUACCACAUCCAAGGAUGGCAGCAGGCGCGCAAAUUACCCAAUCCCGACACGGGGAGGUAGUGACAAUAAAUAACAAUACGGGGUUCUUUAGGAUCUCGUAAUUGGAAUGAGUACAAUUUAAAUCUCUUAACGAGGAACAAUUGGAGGGCAAGUCUGGUGCCAGCAGCCGCGGUAAUUCCAGCUCCAAUAGCGUAUACUAAAGUUGUUGCAGUUAAAAAGCUCGUAGUUGAAUUUCGGGGUUCAUACGUUGGUCGGGCUUUUUGGUCUGUACUAGCGUAAUGGAUUCCUACCUUCUGAAUAACCGGCAUGUCAUUAAUUUGGUGCGCCGGGGAAGCAGGACUGUUACCUUGAAAAAAUUAGAGUGCUUAAAGCAGGCUAUCGCCUGAAUACAUUAGCAUGGAAUAAUGAAAUAGGACGGCAUGGUUCUAUUUUGUUGGUUUCUAGGAUCACCGUAAUGAUUAAUAGGGAUAGUUGGGGGCAUUAGUAUUCAAUUGUCAGAGGUGAAAUUCUUGGAUUUAUUGAAGACUAACUUCUGCGAAAGCAUUUGCCAAGGAUGUUUUCAUUAAUCAAGAACGAAAGUUAGGGGAUCGAAGACGAUCAGAUACCGUCGUAGUCUUAACCAUAAACUAUGCCGACUAGGGAUCGGACGAUGUUAAUUUUUUAAUGACUCAUUCGGCGCCUUACGGGAAACCAAAGUGUUU
RNAcentral lists this ribosomal RNA (767 nucleotides) under uncultured Acaulospora. RNAcentral's name for it is "SSU rRNA". It matches the Rfam family "Eukaryotic small subunit ribosomal RNA", at positions 342 to 1108 of the family's 1831-position model. Lineage: Eukaryota; Fungi; Glomeromycota; Glomeromycetes; Diversisporales; Acaulosporaceae. The record is from RNAcentral.